This 747-nucleotide ribosomal RNA is filed under the name uncultured archaeon. RNAcentral's name for it is "bacterial SSU rRNA". It matches the Rfam family "Archaeal small subunit ribosomal RNA", at positions 53 to 776 of the family's 1478-position model. The record is from RNAcentral.
GCGAGUUGUGCGCUCUCAAGCUAUGUUGAGAGAGCAGCAAACGGCUCAGUAACACGUAGUUAACCUACCCUCAGGACAGGGAUACCCCCGGGAAACUGGGGAUAAUACCUGAUAGGCGGAAGCGCCUGGAAUGGUCCUCCACUGAAAGGGUGUUGAAAGCAUGCUUUUAACACUGCCUAAGGAUGGGACUGCGGCCGAUCAGGUUGUUGGUGGGGUAACGGCCUACCAAGCCUAUAACCGGUACGGGCCCUGAGAGGGGGAGCCCGGAGAUGGGAACUGAGAAACGGUCCCAGGUCCUACGGGACGCAGCAGGCGCGAAACCUCCACAAUGCACGAAAGUGCGAUGGGGUUAUCCCGAGUGCUUUCCGAUGAGGAUGGCUUUUCCUCGGUGUAAAAAGGCGAGGGAAUAAAGGGGGGGCAAGACUGGUGUCAGCCGCCGCGGUAAUACCAGCUCCCUGAGUGGUAGGGAUGAUUAUUUGGCCUAAAGCGUUCGUAGCCGGCUUGGCAAGUCUUCCGUUAAAUCCAGCGACUCAAUCGUUGGUCUGCGGAAGAUACUACUAGGCUAGAGGACGGGAGAGGUUGACGGUAUUCCCAGUGUAGGGGUGAAAUCCAAUAAUCCUGGGAGGACCACCAGUGGCGAAGGCGGUCAACGAGAACGUGCCUGACGGUGAUGGACGAAAGCUGGGGGAGCGAACCGGAUUAGACACCCGGGUAGUCCCAGCCGUAAACGAUGCGGGCUAGGUGUUA